CAUCACAUCCUGGGGCUGGAGCAGGUCCCAAGGGUUCGGCUGUUCGCCGAUUAAAGUGGUACGUGAGCUGGGUUUAGAACGUCGUGAGACAGUUCGGUCCCUAUCUGCCGUGGGUGUAGGAGAAUUGAGAGGCGCUGCCCCUAGUACGAGAGGACCGGGGUGGACGCACCUCUGGUGUACCGGUUGUCGCGCCAGCGGCACCGCCGGGUAGCUAAGUGCGGACGGGAUAACCGCUGAAGGCAUCUAAGCGGGAAGCCCCCCUCGAAACGAGUUCUCCCAGAGAGCCGUGGAAGACCACCACGUUGAUAGGCCGGGUGUGGAAGUGCGGCAACGCAUGAAGCUAACCGGUACUAAUCGCUCGAUCGGCUUGAACGC
This 375-nucleotide ribosomal RNA is filed under the name Chloroflexota bacterium. RNAcentral's name for it is "Chloroflexi bacterium partial 23S ribosomal RNA". It matches the Rfam family "Bacterial large subunit ribosomal RNA", at positions 2538 to 2925 of the family's 2925-position model. Lineage: Bacteria; Bacillati; Chloroflexota. The record is from RNAcentral.